Molecule: ribosomal RNA, 525 nt
Filed under: Meyerozyma guilliermondii
Lineage: Eukaryota; Fungi; Ascomycota; Pichiomycetes; Serinales; Debaryomycetaceae
Description: eukaryotic LSU rRNA
Rfam family: Eukaryotic large subunit ribosomal RNA
Source: RNAcentral
UUGCCUUAGUAGCGGCGAGUGAAGCGGCAAAAGCUCAAAUUUGAAAUCUGGCGCCUUCGGUGUCCGAGUUGUAAUUUGAAGAUUGUAACCUUGGGGUUGGCUCUUGUCUAUGUUUCUUGGAACAGGACGUCACAGAGGGUGAGAAUCCCGUGCGAUGAGAUGCCCAAUUCUAUGUAAGGUGCUUUCGAAGAGUCGAGUUGUUUGGGAAUGCAGCUCUAAGUGGGUGGUAAAUUCCAUCUAAAGCUAAAUAUUGGCGAGAGACCGAUAGCGAACAAGUACAGUGAUGGAAAGAUGAAAAGAACUUUGAAAAGAGAGUGAAAAAGUACGUGAAAUUGUUGAAAGGGAAGGGUUUGAGAUCAGACUCGAUAUUUUGUGAGCCUUGCCUUCGUGGCGGGGUGACCCGCAGCUUAUCGGGCCAGCAUCGGUUUGGGCGGUAGGAUAAUGGCGUAGGAAUGUGACUUUACUUCGGUGAAGUGUUAUAGCCUGCGUUGAUGCUGCCUGCCUAGACCGAGGACUGCGAUUUUA